GAUGAACGCUGGCGGCGUGCUUAACACAUGCAAGUCGAACGAUGAAGCUGGAGCUUGCUCCGGUGGAUUAGUGGCGAACGGGUGAGUAACACGUGAGCAAUCUGCCCUUGACUCUGGGAUAACUGCGGGAAACUGUAGCUAAUACCGGAUACGACGCCUUGGGGCAUCCCACGGGCGUGGAAAGAAUUUCGGUCAAGGAUGAGCUCGCGGCCUAUCAGCUAGUUGGUGAGGUAAUGGCUCACCAAGGCGACGACGGGUAGCCGGCCUGAGAGGGUGACCGGCCACACUGGGACUGAGACACGGCCCAGACUCCUACGGGAGGCAGCAGUGGGGAAUAUUGCGCAAUGGGCGAAAGCCUGACGCAGCAACGCCGCGUGAGGGAUGAAGGCCUCGGUUGUAACUACUUUGUCUAGGGAAGAAACAGCAGCUCUAACACAGUCUGCGAAUGACGGUACC
Molecule: ribosomal RNA, 456 nt
Filed under: uncultured bacterium
Lineage: Bacteria
Description: bacterial SSU rRNA
Rfam family: Bacterial small subunit ribosomal RNA
Source: RNAcentral